Mus caroli (Ryukyu mouse) is the source of this 719-nucleotide long non-coding RNA. RefSeq lists it as uncharacterized. Lineage: Eukaryota; Metazoa; Chordata; Mammalia; Rodentia; Muridae. The record is from RefSeq and is a predicted model, not a curated record.
CCCUUGUACCCCAUUGUGGGGAUAAUAUGUUGUUCUUCGCUCUCCUGUUAAAGGUGACUUGGAUCCUGGCUGCAGAUGGGGGUCACCACUGGACAUAUGAAGGUGAGAUCGGAACUGCGCACGGACUGGCACUUACUCCUUUCACCCCAGGACCCCCGCACCUGGCACGAAGACUUGUCCUGGGGGAGGGGAAGAGCUUUUCCUGAGCUUCACCCACUAGCUCCUCUUUUUCUCCCUACACGCACAGACCCCGGGGCUUACACAAGUGGCUGCUAGACCCUGCUGUAAUCAUUAAAUCCCACAUCUCCUGAUUCAGCAAAAAAGCCAAUGCGUCCUCCGUAAAUCCCUGUGGAAAUGAAGAAAACUGGGCGGGGAGAGGCACAAUGAGCGAGCUGGCUGCCAUCCUUCUGGCUCUCUUUCUCCUAAAUAGUCCUACCCCCAACCUGCCUCUGAAACUGGACAGAGCCUGAGGUCAGGAGGAAAAGGCUGGCAGGAUACUGUAACUCUAGGGACAGUGGAACUCAAUCCCUCUGAACUUCUAAUUAAUGACCUAUCUGGAGUCAAAGCAAGGUCCAGUGUGAGAGAAUGUGAAUGACAGAAAGGAUAGCUGAACCUCAAGUCUACUUGAUAGGGUACCCCAAAGAUAUUCCAUCUGUUUAGGCUGUUUGUCCUCUCUGAUUCUACUUCUGCAAGAAUUCAGGCUUUCUGUCUAUUUCCUC